AGGCCUGGAGAGAGAAGCAGGGCCUGAUUCAUAGCCUCGGUGGCAGCUUUCAAUCAGCCCUUACCUCUCUCUUUCUCUCUG
Molecule: non-coding RNA, 81 nt
Organism: Myotis davidii
Lineage: Eukaryota; Metazoa; Chordata; Mammalia; Chiroptera; Vespertilionidae
Source: Rfam